This 497-nucleotide ribosomal RNA is filed under the name uncultured bacterium. RNAcentral describes it as "partial 16S ribosomal RNA". It matches the Rfam family "Bacterial small subunit ribosomal RNA", at positions 28 to 507 of the family's 1533-position model. The record is from RNAcentral.
GAUGAACGCUGGCGGCGUGCCUAAUACAUGCAAGUCGAGCGAACAGACGAGGAGCUUGCUCCUCUGACGUUAGCGGCGGACGGGUGAGUAACACGUGGAUAACCUACCUAUAAGACUGGGAUAACUUCGGGAAACCGGAGCUAAUACCGGAUAAUAUAUUGAACCGCAUGGUUCAAUAGUGAAAGACGGUUUUGCUGUCACUUAUAGAUGGAUCCGCGCCGCAUUAGCUAGUUGGUAAGGUAACGGCUUACGAAGGCGACGAUGCGUAGCCGACCUGAGAGGGUGAUCGGCCACACUGGAACUGAGACACGGUCCAGACUCCUACGGGAGGCAGCAGUAGGGAAUCUUCCGCAAUGGGCGAAAGCCUGACGGAGCGACGCCGCGUGAGUGAUGAAGGUCUUCGGAUCGUAAAACUCUGUUAUUAGGGAAGAACAAAUGUGUAAGUAACUAUGCACGUCUUGACGGUACCUAAUCAGAAAGCCACGGCUAACUACGUG